UGGGGAAUUUUGGACAAUGGGGGAAACCCUGAUCCAGCCAUCCCGCGUGUGCGAUGAAGGCCUUCGGGUUGUAAAGCACUUUUUGCAGGAAAGAAACGUCAUGGGUUAAUACCCCGUGAAACUGACGGUACCUGCAGAAUAAGCACCGGCUAACUACGUGCCAGCAGCCGCGGUAAUACGUAGGGUGCAAGCGUUAAUCGGAAUUACUGGGCGUAAAGCGUGCGCAGGCGGUUCGGAAAGAAAGAUGUGAAAUCCCAGAGCUCAACUUUGGAACUGAAUGUUUAACGAACGGGCAAGAGUGUGUCAGAGGGAGGGGGAAUUCCGCGUGUAGCAGUGAAAUGCGUAGAUAUGCGGAGGAAAACCGAUGGCGAAGGCAGCCGCCUGGGAUAACACUGAAGCUAAUGCACGAAAGCGUGGGGAGGAAACAGG
This 429-nucleotide ribosomal RNA is filed under the name Acidobacteriota bacterium. Its description in RNAcentral is "Acidobacteria bacterium partial 16S ribosomal RNA". It matches the Rfam family "Bacterial small subunit ribosomal RNA", at positions 355 to 776 of the family's 1533-position model. The record is from RNAcentral. Lineage: Bacteria; Pseudomonadati; Acidobacteriota.